UACGUAGGUGGCAAGCGUUGUCCGGAAUUAUUGGGCGUAAAGCGCGCGCAGGCGGUCCUUUAAGUCUGAUGUGAAAGCCCACGGCUCAACCGUGGAGGGUCAUUGGAAACUGGGGGACUUGAGUGCAGGAGAGAAGAGUGGAAUUCCACGUGUAGCGGUGAAAUGCGUAGAGAUGUGGAGGAACACCAGUGGCGAAGGCGGAUCUCUGGACAGUUCCUGACGCUGAGGCGCGAAGGCCAGGGGAGCAAACGGG
Molecule: ribosomal RNA, 253 nt
Filed under: uncultured bacterium
Lineage: Bacteria
Description: partial 16S ribosomal RNA
Rfam family: Bacterial small subunit ribosomal RNA
Source: RNAcentral